This 253-nucleotide ribosomal RNA is filed under the name uncultured bacterium. RNAcentral describes it as "partial 16S ribosomal RNA". It matches the Rfam family "Bacterial small subunit ribosomal RNA", at positions 524 to 776 of the family's 1533-position model. The record is from RNAcentral.
UACGUAGGGUGCGAGCGUUAAUCGGAAUUACUGGGCGUAAAGCGUGCGCAGGCGGUUUUGUAAGCCAGACGUGAAAUCCCCGGGCUCAACCUGGGAAUGGCGUUUGGGACUGCAAGGCUGGAGUGUGGCAGAGGGGACUAGAAUUCCUGGUGUAGCAGUGAAAUGCGUAGAGAUCAGGAGGAAUACCGAUGGCGAAGGCAGGUCCCUGGGCUAACACUGACGCUCAUGCACGAAAGAGUGGGGAGCAAACAGG